AAGUCUAACAAGGUUUCCGUAGGUGAACCUGUGGAAGGAUCAUUAACACCUAUCCAAACGUUAACCCCCUGUGAUCGUACGUCAAAGCGAGGCAAUCCCUGGUAAAUCAUCGCCGAACAGUUUUGAUUCUGGGACUUAAGAGUGUGCAUGUUGAUUCCCAAGCAGUUAAUGUCUGAAAGUGUCAUUUGCUGUGUAAGGAUGACGCAGUAACGAUCGUUGGAGGCCGACACGGCCGACGACCGGUUGGAAGCCCCUUUAUCACCACUUGAUGCAUGACAGACGCGCCAGCACUUAAUUGUGCGGCGACCAAAAACCGAACAACUGUUAACAAUGGAUAUCUUGGUUAUC
This 348-nucleotide unclassified non-coding RNA is filed under the name fungal sp. Its description in RNAcentral is "partial internal transcribed spacer region". Lineage: Eukaryota; Fungi. The record is from RNAcentral.